RNAcentral lists this ribosomal RNA (465 nucleotides) under Vreelandella stevensii. RNAcentral's name for it is "partial 16S ribosomal RNA". It matches the Rfam family "Bacterial small subunit ribosomal RNA", at positions 338 to 795 of the family's 1533-position model. Lineage: Bacteria; Pseudomonadati; Pseudomonadota; Gammaproteobacteria; Oceanospirillales; Halomonadaceae. The record is from RNAcentral.
CCUACGGGGGGCAGCAGUGGGGAAUAUUGGACAAUGGGCGAAAGCCUGAUCCAGCCAUGCUGCGUGUGUGAAGAAGGCCUUCGGGUUGUAAAGCACUUUCAGUGGGGAAGAAAGCCUUGGGGCUAAUACCCUCGAGGAAGGACAUCACCCACAGAAGAAGCACCGGCUAACUCCGUGCCAGCAGCCGCGGUAAUACGGAGGGUGCGAGCGUUAAUCGGAAUUACUGGGCGUAAAGCGCGCGUAGGCGGUCUGAUAAGCCGGUUGUGAAAGCCCCGGGCUCAACCUGGGAACGGCAUCCGGAACUGUCAGGCUAGAGUGCAGGAGAGGAAGGUAGAAUUCCCGGUGUAGCGGUGAAAUGCGUAGAGAUCGGGAGGAAUACCAGUGGCGAAGGCGGCCUUCUGGACUGACACUGACGCUGAGGUGCGAAAGCGUGGGUAGCAAACAGGAUUAGAUACCCGAGUAGUC